CCUACGGGAGGCAGCAGUGAGGAAUAUUGGUCAAUGGGCGAGAGCCUGAACCAGCCAAGUCGCGUGAGGGAGUACUGCCCUAUGGGUUGUAAACCUCUUUUGUCGGGGAGCAAAAGCCGGACGUGUCCGGCUGUGAGAGUACCCGAAGAAAAAGCAUCGGCUAACCCCGGGCCAUCAGCCGCGGUAAUACGGGGGAUGCGAGCGUUAGCCGGAUUUAUUGGGUUUAAAGGGUGGGCAGGCGGAUCUUUAAGUCAGCGGGAAAAUCGUGGGGCUCAACCCCAUCCAGCCGUUGAAACUGGGGAUCUAGAGUGUGCGAGAGGUAUGCGGAAUGCGUGGUGUAGCGGUGAAAUGCAUAGAUAUCACGCAGAACCCCGAUUGCGAAGGCAGCAUACCGGUGCACAACUGACGCUCAGGCACGAAAGCGUGGGUAUCGAACAGGAUUAGAUACCCUAGUAGUC
This 458-nucleotide ribosomal RNA is filed under the name uncultured bacterium. RNAcentral's name for it is "partial 16S ribosomal RNA". It matches the Rfam family "Bacterial small subunit ribosomal RNA", at positions 338 to 795 of the family's 1533-position model. The record is from RNAcentral.